RNAcentral lists this long non-coding RNA (200 nucleotides) under Carica papaya (papaya). RNAcentral's name for it is "long non-coding RNA (CPAP_LNC009859)". The record is from RNAcentral. Lineage: Eukaryota; Viridiplantae; Streptophyta; Magnoliopsida; Brassicales; Caricaceae.
UUGAUGAAUUGAAUUUCUCAGUUGUGGAGUACUCUACUCUUUCGAUCUACAAUGCCUACUGGUACUUUCUCAUAGAAUAGAUCCUCUUGAAGUAAAAAGGGCUCAUGGGACAGGGUGUAUGAGGAGUCUGGGUUGUACUUGUGUAGCACAGAUACGUGGAACACAUUAUGAAUCCUAGAUAGCUCUAAAGGUAGUGCUAG